UAGGGGUCAUUUGACAAUUUAUACUAGUUCUUCUUCAUCUUCCACUAUUUCCUCGUUCUUCUUUGUCCUGCAACCGUUAAUUCUGCUACUCGUAUCGCCGCCAGAAUCCUCCAGUCCAAAAGGCUCAUGGAGAUUCUCUGAAAGCAAAGAACCUAGAAAGGGGCUUUUUACCUUUGCGCCUUAAAUUAGACUAUGCAAUAAAAUAUAUCUUGCCGACUGUUUUGCUUCUGAUAUUUUGGGAAUUUUUUACUGUGAUUGUUUAGCUUCCUGGUAACUCUACAUUUAAUUCCAGCAAUACCAUUGACUUCCAGCUACCCUUGAUACGUGGACUACUUCAUAAUGGGGAACAAGUUAGAAGAAAUAGAGAGCUCCAUGGUUCUGAUCAAGCAAGGUGCUGAAGCUAGAGUCUUCGAGUCAAAAUUUGUCGAUAGGAGGUCUAUUGUCAAGGAACGCUUUUCGAAGAAGUAUAGGCAUCCAUCUUUGGACUCAAAGCUCACACUCAAACGCUUAAAUGCGGAGGCAAGGUGCAUGACAAAAGCUAGGCGACUUGGGGUUCCCACUCCAGUGCUUUAUGCUGUCGAUCCUUUGUUACAUACCUUGACCUUUGAAUAUGUUGAGGGUCUCUCAGUGAAAGACGUAUUCCUUGACUUUGGAUUACAUGGUAUUGUUGAAGAACGGAUGAAUGAUAUUGCGACUCAAAUUGGUGAUGCAAUUGGCAAACUGCAUGAUGGUGGCCUCAUCCAUGGUGAUUUAACGACAUCAAACAUAUUAAUUCGGAGUGGUACCAAUCAGCUGGUAGUCAUUGAUUUUGGUCUAAGCUUUACAUCAACCCUUCCAGAAGACAAAGCAGUUGAUUUAUAUGUACUUGAACGAGCUUUGCUCUCUAUGCAUUCUUCAUGUGGAAAUGUGAUGGAUAGAAUACUUGCUGCAUACAGGAAGUCCUCAAAGCAGUGGUCAUCAACUUUAAAUAAGCUAGCCCAAGUGAGACAGAGGGGAAGAAAGCGCACAAUGGUGGGUUGAGCUCUGUCAAUUAUGUGCUUCACACAAUGGUUAUAUGAAAAUCGGGUUCUGCGGUGGAUGAUUGGAUAAUGAUACAACCUUACCAAAUAAAAGGGGAAAAAAUUAUUUCAAUUAUGGGAUGGCACAAUUCUGCAUAUACUGUUCGAACAGGAGACGGGAAAUGGGUGGAGAAGCUGCGGGAGCUGUUAGUACCAUUGCUGUUCUAGUAGUUUUCAGGGAAUGUGAUUUCGAACACUCAAGGCAAAACCUCAUCCUUAUGUUUUAUAGUGAAUUUAUCAGUCUUUCUAGAAGUAGUUGGAAAUUUAGAAUGUGAUUCUGUUCCAUUUCAAGUGGUCCAGUUUAUUUAACGUUGGAUAUGAACUUGCUAUUUAAUUCCAACUAUAAGGAGCAAAAUUUUGUUCCAACAUUUAUUCUCAGCUGAAUGUCAGAUCGUCAAAUUAAUUUC
Molecule: RNA transcript, 1465 nt
Organism: Olea europaea var. sylvestris
Lineage: Eukaryota; Viridiplantae; Streptophyta; Magnoliopsida; Lamiales; Oleaceae
Gene name: TP53-regulating kinase
Exons: 9
Source: RefSeq, a predicted model, not a curated record